AGGCGGGGUCCCAUAAGGGAAGUGUAGAUGUGACACUGACCUGCCUUUCUCUGGGUGCUGCCCAGGUGAGAGGUAAAAAUCCUGAGCCCCGCUGGCAUGUCCAGGACCCAGCUCCCCGGCCCGGGCCAUUGUAGAAUAGCCACUGCCCUGUAUCUAGCUCAGAGGCUAAGUGACCUGAGCACAUGAACUCUGGAAUUCGAAUCCUGCCUCUAGUGCCUUUGUGAACUUGGAUUGCGCAAUGGAAAUCAUUGAGGUUUACUGAACAUUACUAAACAAAACUGGGAAAGAGAUGGACGGUAUGACUCAACAGCUUUCCCUUCCAGAGUGACUGCUCUGUUCUUGUGUAACUGCGAAUCAGCCAAUGUGCCAUUGUAGCCUGUGGCAGCCAGGAUCAAUCAGGAUCUCAGCAGAGAAGUGUGUUGCUUUGAGAGCUCUUCCCAGACAUUCUCACUACAGUGUUUAUUAUCCUGUCUAUGUGAAAUCCCAAAGCAAGGCUGCUGAAGUGCGGGAUGGAAAAAAUGCAACAAAGAAUGCUCGACUAUUCAGUCUUAGUCAAGUAUUUUCACCAUACAAUGCUUAGUACUGGUGCUGUGCACAGCUCCCUGUGGAAAGAAAGGGCCACUGGAUCCAAAGACUCCUGGUCCUGACACAAUGUUACUGGUGAUAUAUCAGUGUCUCCAGUGCAUUCACUGUCCCUGGCAGACCCACCCCAGUUCUGGUCCAUUCUGUUACAAAAAAAGAUACAUUAAAACAAAAAUAUUAUCCUAGCCAUCACAUCGUCUGGUUGGCAUUAAAACAACCAACCAACAAAAUGUUCCUCCUAACCUGAUCUGACAGUCCUGAACAAGAUACGCUCCAAUGGCUAAUCGAUUUCACUAGCAUGAAGGCUGCGCCCUAUGUAACAUAGAUCAGGCCUGCGGAAAAGGGAGACCAGCUAAAGCAACCUCUGCAGCAAGCUGAAACACCCAACAAAAUACAGCAUCACUCAAAAUAAAGAAAAUCCCAGAUAAGGGAAUGAAUCUGCCUCUAACAGGUUGGCAGUAUUUGCCUGAAACAGUCUACUGCUCCUACUAGAAGCAGGUACAUGGGUCCUGGAGACUCCCUGAAGCAGGCGGCUUGUUGUCCCAGCCAGAGAGAAAGGAGAUGGGAGUGGCUGUCUUAGAAACAAGAUCUCUAGGACAUGGGCUGAGCAUUCCUGAGGGAGGACCCCGCUGACCAACCCAAGUCUGGGCAGAAAGUUUGAGCUGAACUUUGUUACCUUAUUGUUGAUAUCUGUGUUUAUUCAAACAAACCUCCAGGCAGAGGGAGUCUGGGCUCUACAGGGCAUGUGGAGUGGUAUUUGAGAGCAGGACAGGAACAACACCGGCUCACCUUCCCUGGCUACCAAGAGGGUGAUUCAAUAGAAAACAGACCCAGUAAAACUGAGCAUAUUAAACCUUCCCAAGCCCAAAACUAAGUGAUACCUGGGAAGAUACUGGAUCAAAUUAUUAAACAAUCAGCUUGUAAGCACCUAGAGGAUAAUAGGUUUAUAAGAAAUAGCCACAAAUCAGACAUCAGGAAUAGUAACAUACAAAAGCCAGU
Molecule: long non-coding RNA, 1581 nt
Organism: Trachemys scripta elegans
Lineage: Eukaryota; Metazoa; Chordata; Testudines; Emydidae
Exons: 4
Source: RefSeq, a predicted model, not a curated record